Molecule: ribosomal RNA, 350 nt
Filed under: uncultured Glomeromycotina
Lineage: Eukaryota; Fungi; Glomeromycota
Description: eukaryotic LSU rRNA
Rfam family: Eukaryotic large subunit ribosomal RNA
Source: RNAcentral
UAACAAUGAUUCCCCCAGUAACUGCGAGUGAAGAGGGAAAAGCUCAAAUUUUAAAUCUGUAGGUUUCUGACCGAGUUGUAAUUUGAAGAGCGUUUCUGUGUUCUGUAGUCCAAGUCCUUUGGGAUAGGGCAUCAUGGAGGGUGAGAAUCCCGUUCGGUUGAUCAGACACUUUACGAUACGUCACAAAGAGUCAAGUUGUUUGGGAUUGCAGCUUAAAUGGGAGGUAAAUUUCUCCUAAGGCUAAUAACGGUGAGAGACCGAUAGCGAACAAGUACCGUGAGGGAAAGAUGAAAGAACUUUGAAAGGGAGUUAAACAGUACGUGAAAUUGUUGAAAGGGAAACGAUUGAAG